AUGCAAGAUCAGGUCGGCCUGGACCUGGACGGCUUCCCACUCGACCACGAGUUUCCAGAGAACUACGAACUCGAGGAAGAUGAUGAGUUGGACAUCGACGAUGAGCCUUUGUUCGAGGACGAGGUCGCCAACCAAGCCGCCGGGGCGAAGCCGAAGCGCAAGAGCAGGCGGACGAAGGGAUACACGGCGGCCAAUGACAAGCUCCUUUGUGAGUGUCGGAGGGACAUUGGGCAAGACCCCAAGACCGGCGCCGAACAAAAGGCAUCAACCUUUUGGACUUGUGUUCAUCGUGAGUUCCAUGAACGCAAGAAGUUUCCGCCAUACCAAAUCCAAAGCACGCGCGGGUGGGUGUCCAUCUCGAAG
RNAcentral lists this ribosomal RNA (363 nucleotides) under Triticum aestivum (bread wheat). Its description in RNAcentral is "partial small subunit ribosomal RNA". The record is from RNAcentral. Lineage: Eukaryota; Viridiplantae; Streptophyta; Magnoliopsida; Poales; Poaceae.